This 941-nucleotide long non-coding RNA is filed under the name Hordeum vulgare. Its description in RNAcentral is "long non-coding RNA (HVUL_LNC017952)". The record is from RNAcentral. Lineage: Eukaryota; Viridiplantae; Streptophyta; Magnoliopsida; Poales; Poaceae.
UUCUGUCUAGUUUUUAUAGGAAGAUAUUUCCUUUUCUACCUUUGACUUCAAAGCGGCUGAAAUCUCCACUUGCAAAUUCCACAAAAAGAGUGUUACAAGUCUGCUCUGUGUAACGGAUCGUUCAACUGUCUGAGUUGAAUACACACAACACAAGGAAGUUACUGRGAAUUCYUCUGUCUAKCCWUACAUGAAAAAAACCCGUUUCCAACGAAGGCCUCUAAGWGGYCAARWUAUCCACKUGCAGACUUUACAAACAGAGUGUUUCCAAACUGCUGAAUGAAAAGAAARGUUAAACUCUGUGAGUUGAACGCACACAUCACAGAGCAGUUUCUGAGAAUGAUUCUGUCUAGUUUUUAUACGAAGAUAUUUCCUUUUCUGCCUUUGGCCUCAAAGCGCUUGAAAUCUCCACUUGCAAAUUCCACAAAAAGAGUGUUUCAAAUCUGCUCUGUGUAAAGGAACGUUCAACUCUGUGAGUUGAAUACACACAACACAAGGAAGUUACUGAGAAUUCUUCUGUCUAGCAUAAUAUGAAGAAAUCCCGUUUCCAACGAAGGCCUCAAGGAGGUCUGAAUAUCCACUUGCAGACUUUACAAACAGAGUGUUUCCUAACUGCUCUAUGAAAAGAAAGGUUAAACUCUGUGAGUUGAACGCACACAUCACAAAGGAGUUUCUGAGAAUCAUUCUGUCUAGUUUUUAUACGAAGAUAUUUCCUAUUCUACCAUUGACCUCAAAGCGGCUGAAAUCUCCACUUGCAAAUUCCACAAAAAGAGUGUUUCAAGUCUGCUCUGUGUAAAGGAUCGUUCAACUCUGUGAGUUGAAUACACACAACACAAGGAAGUUACUGAGAAUUCUUCUGUCUAGCAGAAUAUGAAGAAAUCCCGUUUCCAACGAAGGCCACAAGAUGUCAGAAUAUCCACUUACAGACUUUACAAACAGAGUGU